AGAAACCAACAGGGAUUGCCUCAGUAACGGCGAGUGAAGCGGCAAAAGCUCAAAUUUGAAAUCUAGCACUUUCAGUGUUCGAGUUGUAAUUUGAAGAAGGUAACUUUGGUUUUGGCUCUUGUCUAUGUUCCUUGGAACAGGACGUCACAGAGGGUGAGAAUCCCGUGCGAUGAGAUGCCCAAUUCCAUGUAAAGUGCUUUCGAAGAGUCGAGUUGUUUGGGAAUGCAGCUCUAAGUGGGUGGUAAAUUCCAUCUAAAGCUAAAUAUUGGCGAGAGACCGAUAGCGAACAAGUACAGUGAUGGAAAGAUGAAAAGAACUUUGAAAAGAGAGUGAAAAAGUACGUGAAAUUGUUGAAAGGGAAGGGCUUGAGAUCAGACUUGGUAUUUUGCGUUCCCUUCCUUUUUGGUUGGGUUCCUCGCAGUUUACUGGGCCAGCAUCGGUUUGGAUGGUAGGAUAAUGACAUUGGAAUGUAGCUUUACUUCGGUGAAGUGUUAUAGACUUUGUUGAUACUGCCUAUCUAGACCGAGGACUGCGUCUUUGACUAGGAUGCUGGCGUAAUGAUCUUAAGCCGCCCGUCU
This 578-nucleotide ribosomal RNA is filed under the name Dujonia zeylanoides. Its description in RNAcentral is "[Candida] zeylanoides partial large subunit ribosomal RNA". It matches the Rfam family "Eukaryotic large subunit ribosomal RNA", at positions 60 to 654 of the family's 3401-position model. Lineage: Eukaryota; Fungi; Ascomycota; Pichiomycetes; Serinales; Debaryomycetaceae. The record is from RNAcentral.